Mytilus californianus (California mussel) is the source of this 784-nucleotide long non-coding RNA. RefSeq lists it as uncharacterized. The record is from RefSeq and is a predicted model, not a curated record. NCBI's taxonomy places the organism in Eukaryota, Metazoa, Mollusca, Bivalvia, Mytilida, Mytilidae. The transcript has 2 exons.
UAUACCAGGAAUAUCAUCUUACAGUAACUUCACAUUUAGCGCACAUGGCAUUACUGCAUGGAAGGCAUACCAAGUUGGCACAGGAAAGCUAAUACCUUCAUCUAAUAUUCCAACCGUUGAAAAGUGUAUUCUCAAUACUUCAUGUUCAGAGAUAGAGGGUGAAAUUGAUGUGGUUUUUCACCAACUGCCACUUAAAGCUGAAGAGGAAGAAAACACCAUAACAUGUGCAAAUGAGGGAUGCACACUGUCUUUUUCUUCUUUUCAUGAACUGUCAAGCCACUUAAUGUUCGGCAAGUGUGAGUUUGAAUUUAGGUGCCAGUUUAGUAAUGGAUGUGACAUUACUAAGAAGACUUACAUUACAAAGAUGUCUAAGUCUUUUUCAACCAACUUUCAAGUUUCAUCAGCAGGACUGACAGUUGGAAUUGAUGACAACUCAGAUUUAGAACUUGGCUGGGCAUUGAAAGAAGAAAGGAAGAACAAACGAUUCAAUGUAAACCAAAAAGAAUAUCUUACUGAAAAGUUUAAUAAAGGUCUAAAAACUGGAAGAAAAGAAGAUCCUUUUUUGGUAUCAGAGGAAAUGCUGACUGAAAGAAAAGAAGAUGGAAAUAGAAGAUUUUCAUAUGAUGAAAUCCUUUCUGUACAGCAAAUCACAAGUUUCUUUUCUAGAAUGAGCAGGAAGAACAAAUCAUUUGAUGAUUCCGUUGAUGCAUCAAGGGAAGAAACUAUAACAACUAUCAGGAGAGAACUAACUGCAGAUGAACUUAAUUAAAUUUUGUUUACCAAC